RNAcentral lists this small RNA (1221 nucleotides) under Caenorhabditis elegans. Its description in RNAcentral is "Unclassified non-coding RNA Y57A10B.11". Lineage: Eukaryota; Metazoa; Nematoda; Chromadorea; Rhabditida; Rhabditidae. The record is from RNAcentral.
CAUCAGUAUUUGUCUCAACAACGACGCGGUGUCAUUCGGGUAGAAAAGUGCAUCAAUUGAAGAAUCCAUCGAGAGUAACCGUAACGCAGGAGGAGGAAAAUCGAAAUUUCGAGAAGAAAAAAUCGCGGAUCGACGCGAUCGGAUCGUUGUUAUCGUUGCACGACGAGGAGCCGACGAGCAACUCGGGUUGGUGAUUUGAAAUUUUAAAAAUUGAGAAAAAAACUUAUUCCGUUGCGAAGCGAAGGUACGGAGCCGUUUAGUAGGCUGGCAAAACUCGGAAUUUGGCCCAAAAAAUAUUAGGGGCAGAUAGCUCAGUCGGUAGUGGUGGCCGCUAGCAGUCUGGAGGUCACGAGUUCAAGUCCGGCCUCACCCCCUAGGUUUACCCAGCCUCUAUUGGGAAGUGGAGCAAUCCACGACUGGAUUAUCGGCCACAGUCCCCGGCUAGGACGUGGCUUAAAUUACAGCCCAGAGGGAUCACCACCAGGCAGUGUACCUGAAUCCCAGAUCCGCAGUGCAUAGCACUUGAAGAACGGAUCGUCCUUUAAUCCUUUAAUCCUUUUAGGAUCAGAAGUUGGCUAAACUUGGGCAAAGGUUGGGCAAAACUUUAUCAAGACUUUGGCAAAACUUGGAUUCAUUCGACAUCAAAGUUUGACCCAAGUUUCACCGGCCAAAAUUUUUUUUGUUUCGGUUCAAACUUGGGUAGAAGUUUGACAAGAGUUGGGUGAAACUUGUGUUAAACUAUGAUGUCGCCUAAAUCCAAGUUUUGCCUAAGUGUUGCCCAACUUUUGCCCAAGUUAAUAUGUUUUGGGCCAAACUUGGGCAAGAAGCUAAAGCCAAAUGCCAAGAAGGCACUGACACUCUCUGGGUGCAAAUUGUUCCAAAAACCAAAAAUUUCUAAAUUUUGCAGGCAAUACCUAUUUAGUGCGGUCAUCCGAAAAGUUUUCGCCCCUUUUGUUCCAUUGUUAUAGUACACAAAAUGCAAAAUUUUGUUCUGAAUUCAUUAACCUUCUUGAGAAGUCGUAGGCUAGUAAAAAAGUUAGGGUAUUCUGGACCGCCCAAGAAAUGUUCCCGGGGUACACUUUAAUCAAGUAAAGUGGUGAUUUCUUGCAGGAAUGGACGCUAUGGACCUGGAGAAAGGGCUCGAAAAGGACGUAUCGCAGUUGGGAAUCCUUUGUCACCAUUGUUCGACAACCGACUUAACGUGUCCUAAAACUCAAAAGG